CGCGUAGGCGGCCGGGUUGGUCGUGGGUGAAAUCCCCCAGCUUAACUGGGGAAUUGCCUACGAUACUGCCUGGCUCGAGGGAGGAAGGGGCGGCCGGAACUGUCGGUGGAGCGGUGAAAUGCGUUGAGAUCGACAGGAACGCCGGUGGCGAAAGCGGGCCGCUGGCCCUCUUCUGACGCUGAGGCGCGAAAGCCAGGGGAGCGAACG
This 207-nucleotide ribosomal RNA is filed under the name uncultured bacterium. RNAcentral describes it as "partial 16S ribosomal RNA". It matches the Rfam family "Bacterial small subunit ribosomal RNA", at positions 568 to 774 of the family's 1533-position model. The record is from RNAcentral.